This 1899-nucleotide small RNA is filed under the name Rattus norvegicus (Norway rat). RNAcentral's name for it is "uncharacterized LOC108352789". The record is from RNAcentral. Lineage: Eukaryota; Metazoa; Chordata; Mammalia; Rodentia; Muridae.
CCCGUAAUCAACCCCAUUGCUGGACUCCCAGUCAGCCUCUGCCCUGCCUUGUUCUUCUGCUUCAGUUUCUAACAGUGUAGUUCACUUAAUGGCCCUCUCUCCAACAGCUCUCAGGGGAGGGGAACCACCAUCAGUAGGCGUGGUCAGAGGCUUCAGACUUCCUUGGAGGAGGGGUGUGAGUCUGGGUAGCUUCUGAGCAAAGGACAAGAUGGCCUGGGACUCUUCAGAAAGAUCCAGGUGUCUGUCUGCUCUAUGCGGUUUCCCAGCCUAGCCCUGGGGCUACGUGCUGCUCACGAAAAACCCACCCUGAGUGUCCCACACCCCUCCGGUUCAUUGCGUCUUCUGAGCGCUAGCUCUUGGCUUUGAGAUGAACUUCGUUUUAAUCAUAAUUUAAAACCUGAAGGCAUAGAGACUAACUCUGUGGCAGGGCUUCUAGGAUCAGUGGGUGUCUGGGUGCCCACCCCAUCAGGUACUGAAUCCACAACAAAGGUUGCCUGCUUCAUGGAGGGGCCCACACAUGCCACGCAUGGGCCCGCACAAGGAUAUCGGCCUCUCCUGGUGAAUAUAUGAACUGUGACUACUCUGGUGACGCUGACAGCAGAUACUGCUGGGUGUCACCUGUGGGGACCCGGGUACAGUUAUGUAAGAGCACGAGUAUACGGAAUCCACAGCACAAGGGGCUGGUGUGCGUGCAGUUCGUGAGUGUGAAUAUCUGUGUGCACAUAUGAGAAGGCACCCACGAGGGUCAAUGUGAGUAUCAUGGAGGCAUGUGCACGCAUGCGUGCAUACACAUUUGUAUGUGAGAUGCAUGUAAGUGUCCUUGUGUUGUGUAUAUGCAUGCUAUGUGAGCAUGUGUAAGGUAUUUGUGUGUGUGCACCCAUGGAGUUCCCCCAUCUUGGAAACCGCCGCCCCAACUCAGAUCCCUUUCUGCUGUCCUGUUUCAGUUCCUUUCCCUAUUCUUACGUCUGAAUCGUGUCACCAUUUGAACUCAGGGUAAGGUCAUUGCCAUUGCCCACCCUGGGAUGCUAGCUCUGGUGGUGAGCUAUGAGCUCCCGGAGGCCUGUGUUUCCUGUCCUAGCCUCACAGCCAUGUACCUCACUCUGCGAGAGUACCAAGGCUCUGUCCCAAACUCACAACAGCUCUUCCUAGCUUUACCUUUUGGAUCCCAGGCAGCAUCUGGCACUUUGGUCCCCAAAGCAGUGCCUCUGCCUGCUUCCCAGUGUCCAUCACUUUUGUCACCACUCAACCGGUCACACUUGUUCUUUCUGGCAGCUCCUUCCUCAGGUCCAAGGGAAGUACCCUCUGCACUCCACCCUUCCCAAGUACCUCAGUGCCCUAUUCCUCCACAGGAGUCCCUCAGCAUACGGCAAAAGUGGUUGGAAGUAAGAUAACAGCACUGUUUGGAUUCAAGCAUGCCACGAUUCCACCUUUCACUGUGCGUGCUGAGCUGGAAGCCACUGAAGGCACAGGACGCCCUCCAAGGAGAGGUAACCUGGCCCCAAAGAAGCCAGAGGCUAGGCUGCAAGUGACUGACCUUUGAGAGGUACGUGACAGGGCUCAGGGUGCGGUACCGAAGUCCACCUUAGGAGGGAGCUCCUGAGCCAUCAAAGGACGCAACAUGGGUCAGCCAUCUGGCCACUCAGGCUGGACAGAACCAAAGCUUAGGAACUUUGAGAGAAGAACAACAUCCCGAUCUCAUGUACUUCACACCCUGUGAGAACCGAGUUCCUGGAUCCCGGAAUGGAGAUCCCACACGUGCGCUACCCCAGCCAGGAUGGCCUGAGCAUUCUCCAACUCACACCAGACAGGCCCUGGCAUCAGGCCCCUGGAGCACAGCAGGACCAGUGAUGCUGCAGAAGACCCGCCCACUACCAACAGGCCCAGGCCAGGCCUCUGUGA